AAACGAUAGCUAAUACCAGCAUAAGAGAGACUAACGCAUGUUAGUAAUUUAAAAGGGGCAAUUGCUCCACUAUGAGAUGGACCUGCGUUGUAUUAGCUAGUUGGUGAGGUAAAGGCUCACCAAGGCGACGAUACAUAGCCGACCUGAGAGGGUGAUCGGCCACACUGGGACUGAGACACGGCCCAGACUCCUACGGGAGGCAGCAGUAGGGAAUCUUCGGCAAUGGGGGCAACCCUGACCGAGCUACGCCGCGUGAGUGAAGAAGGUUUUCGGAUCGUAAAGCUCUGUUGUUAGAGAAGAAUGAUGGUGGGAGUGGAAAAUCCACCAAGUGACGGUAACUAACCAGAAAGGGACGGCUAACUACGUGCCAGCAGCCGCGGUAAUACGUAGGUCCCGAGCGUUGUCCGGAUUUACUUGGGCGUAAAGACGAGCGCAGGCUGGUUUUUUAAGUCUGAAGUUAAAGGCAUUGGCUCAACCAAUGUACGCUUUGGAAACUGGAGAACUUGAGUGCAGAAGGGGAGAGUGGAAUUCCAUGUGUAGCGGUGAAAUGCGUAGAUAUAUGGAGGAACACCGGUGGCGAAAGCGGCUCUCUGGUCUGUAACUGAC
RNAcentral lists this ribosomal RNA (606 nucleotides) under uncultured Streptococcaceae bacterium. RNAcentral describes it as "bacterial SSU rRNA". It matches the Rfam family "Bacterial small subunit ribosomal RNA", at positions 154 to 744 of the family's 1533-position model. The record is from RNAcentral. Lineage: Bacteria; Bacillati; Bacillota; Bacilli; Lactobacillales; Streptococcaceae.